ACAAAAAUAAAUAACUCUCCUCCUCUCGCCUCUCUGCUCUUCCCACCCCCUCUCCCCGUUUAUCUCUCCCGUCUCCCCUCUUUCUCACUCUCUCCUCUCCGCUCAUCUCUCUCGCACCUACUGCUCUUCUUUCUCGAUCAUCUCUUGUGCACAUAUCUUCAAAUCUUAAAAUCGAUUAGGACAGUAAUUUGAGCAAAACCCCAAAAUUGAUUAAAGUUUUAAUUGAUUCUGUUAAAGCUUUUAUUAGAAGUACAGUACUCACAAAAUUGAUUUAAUGUGUUUCUCACAAAAUCUGUCCUAGAUUAUAUCAGUGUGGUGAGGAUGGCCAUUUUGCCAGGGAUUGUCAUAAUGCGAGCCGUUAGGAUUCGGGAUGUGCUGCUGCGAUAGGUUGUAUAAAAUACUGCUUAUAGUCAUCAAGCAGAGUUUUUCAAGGUGGAAACAAUGUAAAAUUUCACCAGAACAAUGCUCAGGAGCUGAAAAUUUAAAUGCAGACAAGAGGAUUUCAAUAUGUAUCGUAGUUGUUGAUAUAAGGUUACUUGACUUGAGCACUGAUAUAUAUGGAAGGAACAGGUACACUUCUUAAAUAAAUACCCUGGGAGAGCAAAGUUUGCAUGUAUACUGAAUCAUAACACCUCCAAUAACAUUAAAGAUGGAGCUUGGUGGAAAAGGGCAUGUACUGAUGCUAUUUUCAUCCUAAUAAUUACGGCUUCAGUGAGUCGGACAGGUUAGAACAGAGAAGGUCUAGUUCUAAUGGGUUGCAAAUGGAAGGGAACCAACCGAAUGAUGUUAGUAAACCUUUUUUGUCAUGAUAUGAGGCAGUUAAUAACUGCUUUGUGGAGCUCACUGAAGUUCACGUAGAAGAAGAUGAGUUGAACUGCUUUAUGGAGCCACUCAACAUAUGAUUUGAUUCUUAUGGAUUGUUAGAUGCCAAAGAGGGAUGGUUAUGAAACAACAAAAGCGAUAUGGAGAGCAGAGGUGGGCAGCAGUUCACUCAUCCCAAGUGCUUGCAAGUUGGCAUGGAUUUAAGCUAGCUCCUAAAGAACCAUCCAAGGCCGAAGGACGUGCACAAGCCAUUAUGGGUCAUCUAUAAGAAAUUAUUAUAACUAGCUAUUGUCGUGUAAAAAAAUGACAAGAUUUUUUUGUUUUUCAUUCUUUUAUUUCUUUCUUAUUUAAUUUUAGUAAAUUGUAAUCAAGGAAUUUUUAAAUGUGAUUUUUGGUUUGAUA
Daucus carota subsp. sativus is the source of this 1224-nucleotide long non-coding RNA. RefSeq lists it as uncharacterized. The record is from RefSeq and is a predicted model, not a curated record. The transcript has 3 exons. Lineage: Eukaryota; Viridiplantae; Streptophyta; Magnoliopsida; Apiales; Apiaceae.